GAUGAACGCUGGCGGCGUGCCUAAUACAUGCAAGUCGAACGCACAGCGAAAGGUGCUUGCACCUUUCAAGUGAGUGGCGAACGGGUGAGUAACACGUGGAUAACCUACCUCAAGGUUGGGGAUAACAUUUGGAAACAGAUGCUAAUACCGAAUAAAACUUAGUAUCGCAUGAUACCAGGUUAAAAGGCGCUACGGCGUCACCUAGAGAUGGAUCCGCGGUGCAUUAGUUAGUUGGUGGGUAAAGGCUUACCAGACAAUGAUGCAUAGCCGAGUUGAGAGACUGAUCGGCCACAUUGGGACUGAGACACGGCCCAAACUCCUACGGGAGGCUGCAGUAGGGAAUCUUCCACAAUGGGCGAAAGCCUGAUGGAGCAACGCCGCGUGUGUGAUGAAGGCUUCGGGUCGUAAAGCACUGUGUAUGGGAAGAACGAGCUAGAGUAGGGAAUGACUUAG
This 453-nucleotide ribosomal RNA is filed under the name uncultured bacterium. RNAcentral describes it as "bacterial SSU rRNA". It matches the Rfam family "Bacterial small subunit ribosomal RNA", at positions 28 to 477 of the family's 1533-position model. The record is from RNAcentral.